GUGAGGAAUAUUGGUCAAUGGGCGGGAGCCUGAACCAGCCAAGUCGCGUGAAGGAAGAAGGAUCUAUGGUUCGUAAACUUCUUUUGCAGGGGAAUAAAGUGCAGGACGUGUCCUGUUUUGUAUGUACCCUGAGAAUAAGGAUCGGCUAACUCCGUGCCAGCAGCCGCGGUAAUACGGAGGAUCCGAGCGUUAUCCGGAUUUAUUGGGUUUAAAGGGUGCGUAGGUGGUUUGAUAAGUCAGCGGUGAAAGUUUGCAGCUUAACUGUAAAAAUGCCGUUGAAACGGUCGGAGUUGAGUGUAAAUGAGGUAGGCGGAAUGCGUGGUGUAGCGGUGAAAUGCAUAGAUAUCACGCAGAACUCCGAUUGCGAAGGCAGCUUACUAAGCUACAACUGACACUGAAGCACGAAAGCGUGGGGAUCAAACAGGAUUAGAUACCCUGGUAGUCC
Molecule: ribosomal RNA, 445 nt
Filed under: uncultured bacterium
Lineage: Bacteria
Description: partial 16S ribosomal RNA
Rfam family: Bacterial small subunit ribosomal RNA
Source: RNAcentral